AUGAAAUUCGCCUCUGCUCUGAAAUACGACAUUUUGGCGUUCUUUAAUGAUUUCUUCCAUGGGCAGGCUGAUCUAUCCGGCAUCAACUGGGCAUAUAUCGUGCUGCUUCCUAAGGUUGAGUCUCCUAUGGAGAUCACUAACUACAAGCCCAUCUCCCUAGUGCACAGUAUCAUCAAGUUGCUCACAAAAGUGCUCGCCUUGAGGUUACAACAAUUCAUA
This 219-nucleotide ribosomal RNA is filed under the name Triticum aestivum (bread wheat). Its description in RNAcentral is "partial small subunit ribosomal RNA". Lineage: Eukaryota; Viridiplantae; Streptophyta; Magnoliopsida; Poales; Poaceae. The record is from RNAcentral.